AUUGAACGCUGGCGGCAUGCUUUACACAUGCAAGUCGAACGGUAACAGGCCGCAAGGUGCUGACGAGUGGCGAACGGGUGCGUAAUGCAUCGGAACGUGCCCAGUCGUGGGGGAUAACUACUCGAAAGAGUAGCUAAUACCGCAUACGAUCUAUGGAUGAAAGCGGGGGACCGUAAGGCCUCGCGCGAUUGGAGCGGCCGAUGUGAGAUUAGGUAGUUGGUGGGGUAAAGGCUCACCAAGCCAACGAUCUGUAGCUGGUCUGAGAGGACGACCAGCCACACUGGGACUGAGACACGGCCCAGACUCCUACGGGAGGAAGCAGUGGGGAAUUUUGGACAAGGGGCGCAAGCCUGAUCCAGCAAUGCCGCGUGCAGGAAGAAGGCCUUCGGGUUGUAAACUGCUUUUGUACGGAACGAAACGGCUCUGGUUAAUACCCGGGGCUAAUGACGGUACCGUAAGAAUAAGCACCGGCUAACUACGUG
Molecule: ribosomal RNA, 482 nt
Filed under: uncultured bacterium
Lineage: Bacteria
Description: partial 16S ribosomal RNA
Rfam family: Bacterial small subunit ribosomal RNA
Source: RNAcentral